Molecule: small nuclear RNA, 313 nt
Filed under: Octodon degus (degu)
Lineage: Eukaryota; Metazoa; Chordata; Mammalia; Rodentia; Octodontidae
Description: 7SK RNA (ENSODEG00000022917.1)
Rfam family: 7SK RNA
About the family: 7SK was discovered as an abundant small nuclear RNA in the mid-70s but a possible function has only recently been suggested. Two independent studies have found that 7SK RNA binds the CDK9/cyclin T complex (known as elongation factor P-TEFb). P-TEFb activates transcription by phosphorylating the C-terminal domain of RNA polymerase II.
Source: Rfam by way of RNAcentral
GGAUGUGAGGGCGAUCUGGCUGCGACAUCUGUCACCCCAUUGAUCGCCAGGGUUGAUUCGGCUGAUCUGGCUGGCUACGCGGGUGUCCCCUUCCUCCCUCAACGAUCCAUGUGCGUCCCUCCUGAAGCUGCGUGCUCGGUCGAAGAGGACAACCACCCCCGAAGAGGAGGACCGUUCCUCGGUCAAGGGUAUACGAGUAGCUGCGCUCCCCUGCUAGAACCUCCAAACAAGCUCUCAAGAACAAUAUCUUUAGAAAGUAGUGAAAAACAUUUAUUAUCUGAUAACUUUGAAAAUGAACAAAGAUUACCAAGGU